This 257-nucleotide ribosomal RNA is filed under the name uncultured bacterium. RNAcentral's name for it is "partial 16S ribosomal RNA". It matches the Rfam family "Bacterial small subunit ribosomal RNA", at positions 522 to 777 of the family's 1533-position model. The record is from RNAcentral.
UACGGGGGGGGGGCAAGCGUUGUUCGGAAUUACUGGGCGUAAAGGGCUCGUAGGUGGCCAACUAAGUCGGACGUGAAAUCCCUCAGCUUAACUGGGGGAACUGCGUCCGAUACUGGAUGGCUUGAGUUUGGGAGAGGGAUGCGGAAUUCCAGGUGUAGCGGUGAAAUGCGUAGAUAUCUGGAGGAACACCGGUGGCGAAGGCGGCAUCCUGGACCAACACUGACACUGAGGAGCGAAAGCCAGGGGAGCAAAGCAGG